AGUAAGGCGUAUGUAUGUAUGUCCCGCAUAGAAAUCAAAACCGUUUGACCAUUCCUGAUAAAACUUGGCAUAAAUGUUCCUUGGGUACUAACUAGAACCGUAGCCCUAAAACAAACUUAAGACCCUCAAAAAAAAAGUUGCCCAACUCUAUGAAAGUAUUAUUAUUUCAUGAAUCUAGGCCAUGUUUACCAUGUUGAAAUUAUUAUUUUUGCUGUUUUUGUAUUAUUAUUUCCCUUAUUUUAAUGCUCACCAGUUCAAAAGUUACUUUCUGUAUUCGCUGCAGUUCCCAUAAGUCUUUGCCGCUGUUCUUCAAUUUCCUUUUUAUAAAUAAAAAAGUAGAUCUAAUUUUUAAUAAUCCUAACGAAGUACAUCAUAAAUAAUCUAGAUCUAAUCACCCGAGGGUGACGCUAUCUACAUUGUUAAGUCUCUUUUUAUAGACUUUUUAUAGCCGAUACACAGCUCACUUUGAGUGUCUGUUCCACAUCUAGAUCUAUACAUUCAUCAUGCUUUAGGUCAAAGUGAGCAAUUGUUGCUGCACGUGCAGCUUGAAAUCUAUCACUUGAAAGAAUUGCUCCAGAUGGCGAUGACACCGUGUUGUAUAGGUCGGUGCUAACAUUUAGCAGAAGUGUAAACGUCACAAGGUAAAAUACACGUUGUUCAUUUCCAUUAGACUUACAAGUAGCAUAGAGUUUAAUAGGUCAUAGAGUUUAACAGGUCAGGUCAGGAAUUUUAUUGAUUUUUAGCUUCUCGCCUUUAAAUAAAUGUGCCUCUACCUAAGUACUACCUCAAAAUUCUUGACAAAAUUGCACGUUUUGUCAUACAGAAUAUUUAUUAUGCAUUGUUACUUGUACAUUGCUUUAACAAUGCAUUGUUUUUUCGUACUGCUAUUGACAAGUAGGCCAUAAAUAGAUGUGUGUAGGACAUAAAUAGAUGUGUGUAAGCCUACGUUUGUAUGUGAGUGUGUGUACUCAUGGUGUAAAAUACACGGUACUUUGAGCAUUGUGUACAGAUGAAAUUGUUACCUGCUACUUCUGCUGAAUUGUAUAGUCUUAUUGUCAUUAUCAUUGUCAUUUUAUACUAAAUGGUUUUAAGUUUAAUCGUUGAUCUUGAUCGAAUUUAUAAAAAAUAUGGGAUGUCAUAGUAAGGUUGAAAGGCAUUCUCAAGUUUGCGUUUUUUAAUUUAUUAAAUAUUAAAUUUAUCGCAUAUCUUGGACUUUGAAUUACAAAUAGCUUUUAUAGAUCUAUUUAUUUAAUUUCAAGUGCAGAUGAAAUUUAAAAAAAACAAAAAACCUUGUUAUGAAAAUGAUUUACUGUAUCGGUUUGUUCGCUAACUGUCAAAAAACUCAAACUAAAACUCUCUAAACUCUAUGGCCAUAU
Molecule: long non-coding RNA, 1376 nt
Organism: Biomphalaria glabrata
Lineage: Eukaryota; Metazoa; Mollusca; Gastropoda; Planorbidae
Exons: 3
Source: RefSeq, a predicted model, not a curated record